UUUCCUACGGGACGCAGCAGUAGGGAAUCUUCCACAAUGGACGAAAGUCUGGUGGAGCAACGCCGCGUGAGUGAAGAAGGGUUUCGGCUCGUAAAGCUCUGUUGGGAGUGAAGAAAGAUAGAGGUAGUAACUGGCCUUUUUUUGACGGUAAUUACUUAGAAAGUCACGGCUAACUACGUGCCAGCAGCCGCGGUAAUACGUAGGUGGCAAACGUUUUCCGGAUUUAUUGGGCGUAAAGCGAGGGCAGGCGGU
This 252-nucleotide ribosomal RNA is filed under the name uncultured bacterium. RNAcentral's name for it is "partial 16S ribosomal RNA". It matches the Rfam family "Bacterial small subunit ribosomal RNA", at positions 335 to 579 of the family's 1533-position model. The record is from RNAcentral.